CUUUGCUUUUCCUUGUGGAUCUCAAUUUGCUCCUGCUUCUCUUGCUCACUUGGGCCAUCCCCGAGCUCGUGAGCCAGCGGCGCGGGGCAGCCGCGGAAGGCGAAGUCCUCGAGGUCGCGGAGCAGGCGCUGCUGCUCGGCCGGGCCGGCCCUGGCCACCUGCCGCAGCCGGAACUGCACUUGCGCGAAGUGCGAGGCCAGCGCCAGCAGUGCCCCGUGCAGGCGGCGCCGCUCGGCCCGCAACCGCGGCACCGACCGCGGCGACCCCGCCGUCUCUUCUUCCUCUUCCUCCUCCUCUUGCUCCACCGUCACAGCACCCACCGGUGCCCAGCGCUCCCCCGGGCCCAGCGGGCCGCCCUCCGACUCCA
This 367-nucleotide long non-coding RNA is filed under the name Gallus gallus (chicken). The record is from RNAcentral. Lineage: Eukaryota; Metazoa; Chordata; Aves; Galliformes; Phasianidae.